Molecule: ribosomal RNA, 460 nt
Filed under: uncultured bacterium
Lineage: Bacteria
Description: SSU rRNA
Rfam family: Bacterial small subunit ribosomal RNA
Source: RNAcentral
AGAAUCAACGCUGGCGGCGUGCCUAACACAUGCAAGUCGAUCGAGAAAGUGGAGCAAUCCAUGAGUAAAGAGGCGCACGGGUGAGUAACACGUGACUAACCUACCUUCGAGUGGGGAAUAACCUGGGGAAACCCGGGCUAAUACCGCAUAAUACCUACGGGUCAAAGGAGCAAUUCGCUUGAAGAGGGGGUCGCGGCAGAUUAGUUAGUUGGCGGGGUAAUGGCCCACCAAGACGAUGAUCUGUAUCCGGCCUGAGAGGGCGCACGGACACACUGGAACUGAAACACGGUCCAGACUCCUACGGGAGGCAGCAGUGGGGAAUUUUGCGCAAUGGGGGAAACCCUGACGCAGCAACGCCGUGUGGAGGAUGAAGUCCCUUGGGACGUAAACUCCGUUUCGACCGGGACGAUUAUGACGGUACCGGAUGAAGACGCCCGGCUAACUUCGCGCCAGCAGCCGC